UAGCAUAUAUUAAAGUUGUUGCAGUUAAAAAGCUCGUAGUUGGAUCUUAGGUUCUGAUCGGACUGAGCACAGACCUCGGUUUGUCUCUUCUGGUCGUCCUAAAUAGUUGGCGAUUCAUUUUGUGCUCUUUACUGAGUGUGAUUUGAGCCCAACGAUGUUACUUUGAAAAAAUUAAAGUGCUUAAAGCAGGCUUAAUGCUUGUAUAAUGUUGCAUGGAAUAACAGAAUAGGACUUCAGUUUUAUUUUGUUGGUUUUCGAAUCUGAAGUAAUGAUUAACAGAGACUGCCGGGGGCAUUCGUAUGGCGGGGCUAGAGGUGAAAUUCAUGGACCCUCGCCAGACGUCCUACUGCGAAAGCAUUUGCCAAGAAUGUUUUCACUAAUCAAGAACGAAAGUCAGAGGUUCGAAGACGAUCAGAUACCGUCCUAGUUCUGACCAUAAAUGAUGCCAUCUGAUUAUCCGCUCGGUCGCAAGACCGACAUAGCGGGCAGCCCCCGGGAAACCAAAGAUUUUAGGCCCCGGGGGUAGUAUGGUUGCAAGACUGAAACUUAAAGAAAUUGACGGAAGGGCACCACCAGGAGUGGAGCCUGCGGCUUAAUUUGACUCAACACGGGGAAACUUACCAGGUCCAGACAUACUGAGGAUUGACAGAUUGAGAGCUCUUUCUUGAUUCUAUGGGUGGUGGUGCAUGGCCGUUC
This 696-nucleotide ribosomal RNA is filed under the name uncultured eukaryote. RNAcentral describes it as "SSU rRNA". It matches the Rfam family "Eukaryotic small subunit ribosomal RNA", at positions 595 to 1293 of the family's 1831-position model. The record is from RNAcentral.